RNAcentral lists this ribosomal RNA (381 nucleotides) under uncultured eukaryote. RNAcentral's name for it is "partial 18S ribosomal RNA". It matches the Rfam family "Eukaryotic small subunit ribosomal RNA", at positions 592 to 976 of the family's 1831-position model. The record is from RNAcentral.
CAAUAGUGUAUAUUAAAGUUGUUGCGGUAAAAAAGCUCGUAGUUGGAUUUCUACCGAAGAUAGCCGGUCGGGUCUUCGACCUUGUAUCUGGUUUUGUCUUUGGUAUCCUCAUAGGGAACGUUUCUGCGCUUUAUUGCGUGGUGCGGUAUCUAUGACUUUUACUUUGAGGAAAUUAGAGUGUUCGCGGCAGGCAAACGCCUUGAAUAUAUUAGCAUGGAAUAAUAACAUAGGAUCUUCGUCCUAUUUUGUUGGUUUCUAGGGCUAAGAUAAUGAUUAAUAGGGAUAAUUGGGGGCAUCUGUAUCAACGCGUCAGAGGUGGAAUUCUUGGAUUGCGUUGCGACAAACUACUGCGAAAGCAUUUGCCAAGGAUGUUUUCAUUGA